This 329-nucleotide ribosomal RNA is filed under the name uncultured eukaryote. RNAcentral describes it as "bacterial SSU rRNA". It matches the Rfam family "Eukaryotic small subunit ribosomal RNA", at positions 623 to 957 of the family's 1831-position model. The record is from RNAcentral.
AGACAUGAGUUAAAGCUCGUAGUUGGAUUUCUGGGGAAGUCUGUUAAGUGCAAUAGUGUUUUUCAGACUUUACCCAUCCUUCUGUUAACAUGUGAUGGUAUCCGUACUGGACAUGGGCUCAGAUAUUUUACCUUGAGAAAAUUAGAGUGUUUCAGGCAGGCUAGGCCGGAAUAUAAAGCAUGGAAUAAUGGAAUUGACAUGACUCUGUGGUUGGCCAGAGAAGUGUAAUGGUUAAUAGGAACAGUUGGGGGCAUUAGUAUUUUAAUUUGUCAGAGGUGAAACUCUUUGGAUUUUGUUUAAAGACUUAACUUAAAGCCGAAAGCAUUUUG